UCUUUGAAACCGUAUCGUGAUGGGGAUAGAACAUUGCAAUUAUUGUUCUUCAACGAGGAAUGCCUAGUAAGCGCGAGUCAUCAUCUCGCGUUGAUUACGUCCCUGCCCUUUGUACACACCGCCCGUCGCUCCUACCGAUUGAACGUGCUGGUGAAGCGUUAGGACUGGAGCUCUGGGCCGGUUCGCCUGCCCAUUGCUACGGGAAUUUCGUUGAACCCUCCCGUUUAGAGGAAGGAGAAGCCGUAACAAGGUCUCCGUAGGUGAACCUGCGGAGGGAUCAUUGAAACCGAUCAAACCAACCACAGAGCACCUGCGGGCGCUCACCCGGGUGCGUGCGCGCACCCCGGGUGGGGCGGCCCGCCGUCGUAUCUCGGGACCCGGUCCUCCGGGCCCCGCCCAAACCCAACCAACCCUUCUGCCCUGAAGCAGCUUCGCAAGGGGACACCCCGCGCGACAGUAACAGAGACAACUCUCAACAACGGAUAUCUUGGCUCUCGCAACGAUGAAGAACGCAGCGAAAUGCGAUACGUAGUGUGAAUUGCAGAAUUCCGUGAGUCAUCGAAUCUUUGAACGCACAUUGCCGGUCGACUCUUCGGAGGAGACCACAUCUGCCUCAGCGUCGGAAUACCCCCUCACGCCCUCCCGCGUGGACCUGGCCCCCCCGGACUCCUCGAGAGGCCGGGCCGGCUGAAAUGCAGAGGCUCGUGCGCGGCCCACCCCUGUGGCCCCGACUAGGUAGGUAGCUCGCUACUGCUAGGCGGCGGCUCGGUGCCGCGGACUCUGGGCCCCAGAGGAUACCCCUAUUCAAUCGACCUGAGUUCAGGUGAGGCUACCCGCUGAACUUAAGCAUAUCAAUAAGC
Molecule: ribosomal RNA, 860 nt
Filed under: Ulva sp. WD-2012
Lineage: Eukaryota; Viridiplantae; Chlorophyta; Ulvophyceae; Ulvales; Ulvaceae
Description: eukaryotic LSU rRNA
Rfam family: Eukaryotic small subunit ribosomal RNA (bases 1-283)
Source: RNAcentral